This 463-nucleotide ribosomal RNA is filed under the name uncultured bacterium. RNAcentral describes it as "partial 16S ribosomal RNA". It matches the Rfam family "Bacterial small subunit ribosomal RNA", at positions 28 to 507 of the family's 1533-position model. The record is from RNAcentral.
GAUGAACGCUGACAGAAUGCUUAACACAUGCAAGUCUUUGGCGAAGCUGUGCUUGCACAGCCUAGCCAAGGCGGACGGGUGAGUAACGCGUAAGGAACUUGCCCUGCAGUCAGGGAUAACAGACGGAAACGACUGAUAAGACCUGGUAAAGUCAGGCGGACUCAUGUCCAGCCUGAUGAAAAGUGAUGCUGCAGGAGAGCCUUGCGUCCUAUUAGCUUGUUGGUGGGGUAACGGCCCACCAAGGCGAUGAUAGGUAGCCGGCCUGAGAGGGUGGACGGCCACAAGGGGACUGAGAUACGGCCCUUACUCCUACGGGAGGCAGCAGUGGGGAAUAGUGGACAAUGGGGGCAACCCAGAUCCAGCAAUUCUGUGUGCACGAUGAAGGUUUUCGGAUUGUAAAGUGCUUUCAGCAGGGAAGAAAAAAAUGACGGUACCUGCAGAAGAAGCGACGGCUAAAUACGUG